UGGGGCGUAGUCAAGUGGUAAGGCAACGGGUUUUGGUCCCGCUAUUCGGAGGUUCGAACCCUUCCGUCCCAGA
Molecule: transfer RNA, 73 nt
Filed under: Taxillus matsudae
Lineage: Eukaryota; Viridiplantae; Streptophyta; Magnoliopsida; Santalales; Loranthaceae
Description: tRNA-Gln
Rfam family: tRNA
About the family: Transfer RNA (tRNA) molecules are approximately 80 nucleotides in length. Their secondary structure includes four short double-helical elements and three loops (D, anti-codon, and T loops).
Source: RNAcentral